Molecule: long non-coding RNA, 1758 nt
Organism: Gallus gallus (chicken)
Lineage: Eukaryota; Metazoa; Chordata; Aves; Galliformes; Phasianidae
Source: Ensembl
GUAGGAUCGCGGCUCCCCUCUCCGGUUUCUCCCCUUUCUGAUUCAGCGCCGCACUUCGCAACUUCCGCCCGGCCGAUGGGGCCGCCCCGACCCCGCCCUAUAAACACCGACCCCGCCCUAUAAACACCGCCCCGGCCCCGUCAAUAGGGGCCCGGCCCUAUAAACACCGACCCGACCCUAUAAAUACGGAGCGAACCCCAUCGGGACAGAGCACUGCGGGGCCGCUCCAGUGCGACCCCAUCAAUCUGGACCGGACCCUACAAAUACGGAGCCGACCCUAUAAAUACGGACUGAGCCCUAUAGAUACGGACUGAACCCUAUAAAUACGGAGCAAACCCCAUCAGUACGGAGCGCUGCGGGGCUGCCCCGACGCGACCUGACCCUAUAAAUAUGGAGUGAACCCCAUCAAUCCAGACCCGACCCUACAAAUACGGAGCGAACCCCAUCAGGACAGAGCACUGCGGGGCCGCCCCGACGCGACCCGACCCUAUAAAUCCGGACCGGACCCUAUAAAUACGGACUGAACCCUAUGAAUCCGGACCCGACCCUAUAAAUACGGAGCCGACCCUAUAAAUACGGAGCAAACCCCAUUGGGACGGAGCGCUGCGGGGCCACCCCGACCCGACCCGACCCUAUAAAUCUGGACCGGACCCUAUAAAUACGGAGCCGACCCUAUAAAUACGGAGCGAACCCCAUUGGGACGGAGCGCUGCGGGGCCGCUCCGACCCGACCCUAUAAAUCUGGACCGGACCCUACAAAUACGGAGUCGACCCUAUAAAUACGGAGCGAACCCCAUUGGUACGGAGUGCUGCGGGGCUGUCCCGACCCGACCCAACCCUAUAAAUCCAGACCAGAACCUAUAAAUACAGACCCGACCCUAUAAAUACGGAGUGAACCUUAUAAAUACGGACCAGACCCCAUCAAUCCGGACCCGACCCUAUAAAUCCGGACCUGACCCUAUAAAUACAGAGCCGACCCUAUAAAUACGGAGCAGAUCCUAUAAAUACGGAGCAAACCCCAUCAGCACGGAGCGCUGCGGGGCGCUGAGCCGACCCUAUAAAUACAGACUGCUGAGGGGCUGCCCCGACCCCAUAAAUCCGGACCCGACCCCAUAAAUCCGGACCCGACCCCAUAAACCCAGAGCUCUGUCGGACCCGGGAACGGUGUGAUGGAGGUGAGAGAUGUGGGGUGGGUUAUGGGGUGGGGUGGGUAUGGGGUGGAUGGGAUGGGAUGGGAUGGGAUGGGGGGUGUAUGGGGUGGGAUUGUGGGGUAUAUGGGGUGGGCUAUGGGGUGGGUAUGGGGUGUAUGGGAUGGGAUUGUGGGGUUGGGAUGGGGUAUGGGGUGUAUGGGAUGGGAUAUGGGGUAUAUGUGGGGUAUAUGGGGUGGGCUAUGGGGUGUAUGGGAUGGGUGAGGGAUGGGUUAUGGGAUUGGGAUGGGAUGCGGGGUGUGGGAUGGGGUAUGGGGUGGGAUAUGGGGUGUGUGGGAUGGGAUGUGGGGUAUAUGGGGUGGGAUUGUGGGGUUGGGGUGGGAUAUGGGGUGUGUGGGAUGGGUAUGGGGUGUGAUGUGUGGGGAAUAGGGGAUGUGGGGUUGGGGGAUGGGCUGUGGGCUGUGGGGUGGGGCUGCACACGGGCUAUGGGGUGGGCUAUGGGGUGGGCUAUGGGGUGGGGGUCACUGCUGUGCCCCAUACGCUGCCCCCAGAACAGCCCGGCCCCAUAAAGCCCCCAUACCCCCCCAUACCCCCCCACCCCAUAAAGCCCC